RNAcentral lists this ribosomal RNA (496 nucleotides) under uncultured bacterium. Its description in RNAcentral is "bacterial SSU rRNA". It matches the Rfam family "Bacterial small subunit ribosomal RNA", at positions 29 to 509 of the family's 1533-position model. The record is from RNAcentral.
AGUGAACGCUGGCGGCAGGCCUAACACAUGCAAGUCGAACGGCAGCACGGCAGUAGCAAUACUGUGGGUGGCGAGUGGCGGACGGGUGAGGAAUACAUCGGGAUCUACCCUGUUGUGGGGGAUAACGUAGGGAAACUUACGCUAAUACCGCAUAAGAACUGAGGUUGAAAGCGGCGGACCGCAAGGCGUCGCGCGAUUGGAUGAACCGAUGUCCGAUUAGCUAGUUGGCGGGGUAAAGGCCCACCAAGGCGACGAUCGGUAGCUGGUCUGAGAGGACGACCAGCCACACUGGAACUGAGACACGGUCCAGACUCCUACGGGAGGCAGCAGUCGAGAAUAGUCUACAAUGGCCGGAAGGCUGAUAGUGCGACGCCGCGUGAACGAGGGAGCCCUUCGGGUCGUAAGUUACUUUUCUUAUACGAGCAGUGCUAUAUAUAUGGAUAGUAUAUAUAGAGGGAUAGUAGUAUAGGAAUAAGACAACGGCUAACUCCGUGCC